RNAcentral lists this long non-coding RNA (1010 nucleotides) under Capra hircus (goat). RNAcentral describes it as "lncRNA (ENSCHIG00010005125.1)". Lineage: Eukaryota; Metazoa; Chordata; Mammalia; Artiodactyla; Bovidae. The record is from RNAcentral.
CUGCACCUUACAGUACUUUCCUUGCAGUCACGUACCACUUACCUGGAGUAGCUAGAUAGUUUCCAGGCCCCUCUUCCAAUUAACAUGAGGCUGUAAUAUCCUCUCACCUGCCCUUUCUUCCAAGACCAAAUAAAGUCCUCUCCUCUGAUUUGAGUCUAGUGACUAAGAUCCUGUCAUCCAUGGCCUGACUUCUGUACCCAUGUCUACCUUACUAGUCUUUGCUUAGAUGAAUACAUUUCACUCUUUCAGCUGAUGAGUCUGCCUAUUUCCCAGUUCCUAUCCCACAGAGUUCCAACUCUAUCCAGUGUUUUGUCUAACUGUGCAUGAACAACUGGAUGCUUUCUCAGAUGAACCAUAGAAAGGUGAACUGAACAGUGGCAAUGGAUGGCUAAAAGCAUUUUAGUGCAUUUUUACAUUUUCAUAGCUUCUUCUCCAAAUUUAAGUUAAAAGUAUCUUCCUAUCAGGUAAACAUAUCACCAAGAGAAGCUCUCCUACCCAUUUCUCCCCAUUGCAAUCUUUUUUGUUUUUGUUUUUUACCUUUGAGCGCUUCCUAUUUCAAUAAGUCAUCCUUAUUCAUUAUCCACUCUAAGGCCCAGUUCAUAGUUUCCAUGUUUCAGACAUACUCACUAUACAAAGCCAUAUUAUAAGACAAUGCUAUGUUAGGGCCCUCCUGCACUUACCAUGUAACCACACAGUGAAACAGAAAUGAUUUUAGACUAGAGGCUUCUCAGCCUCAGUGUACCGCAUCUGUUGACCAACCUUCAUCUACAGAUCACUCUUUGAGCUGUCUUUUGAGUUUUGUGCUUAUGGUACACCAAUUCCUAUAGCUCUGCUAUCCUCUGUAAACAAAUGAUUUCCCCGAUAAACAUCCUAGAAAUUCCCAGAAGAGAGCCUGAUACAGGAUUGUAGUUUUAACUCACUGGUUCCCAUAAGAACAUGAAAAGGUCAGACUGCAAUAUUCCACAGGUUUUGGAGAGUUUUAUCACUGCAAAAUGUUUCCUUUUAACUUG